Molecule: ribosomal RNA, 262 nt
Filed under: uncultured prokaryote
Description: partial 16S ribosomal RNA
Rfam family: Bacterial small subunit ribosomal RNA
Source: RNAcentral
UACGUAGGGUGCGAGCGUUGUCCGGAAUUACUGGGCGUAAAGAGCUCGUAGGUGGUUUGUCACGUCGUCUGUGAAAUUCCGGGGCUUAACCUCGGGCGUGCAGGCGAUACGGGCAAUACUUGAGUGCUGUAGGGGAGACUGGAAUUCCUGGUGUAGCGGUGAAAUGCGCAGAUAUCAGGAGGAACACCAAUGGCGAAGGCAGGUCUCUGGGCAGUUACUGACGCUGAGGAGCGAAAGCAUGGGUAGCAAACAGGAUUAGAUA